This 254-nucleotide ribosomal RNA is filed under the name uncultured bacterium. Its description in RNAcentral is "partial 16S ribosomal RNA". It matches the Rfam family "Bacterial small subunit ribosomal RNA", at positions 524 to 776 of the family's 1533-position model. The record is from RNAcentral.
CACGUAGGGUGCGAGCGUUGUCCGGAAUUAUUGGGCGUAAAGAGCUCGUAGGCGGUGUGUCGCGUCGGCCGUGAAAACCUGCAGCUUAACUGUGGGCUUGCGGUCGAUACGGGCAUCACUGGAGUUCGGCAGGGGAGACUGGAAUUCCUGGUGUAGUGGUGGAAUGCGUAGAUAUCGGGAGGAACACCAGUGGCGAAGGCGGUUGCCUGGAGCUUUGCUGACGCUGAUGCGCGAAAGCGUGGGGAGCGAUCCGG